UUCAUUCUGAGUCGAAAAAAA
RNAcentral lists this non-coding RNA (21 nucleotides) under Caenorhabditis elegans. Lineage: Eukaryota; Metazoa; Nematoda; Chromadorea; Rhabditida; Rhabditidae. The record is from RNAcentral.